RNAcentral lists this ribosomal RNA (496 nucleotides) under uncultured bacterium. RNAcentral's name for it is "partial 16S ribosomal RNA". It matches the Rfam family "Bacterial small subunit ribosomal RNA", at positions 28 to 506 of the family's 1533-position model. The record is from RNAcentral.
GAUGAACGCUGGCGGCGUGCCUAAUACAUGCAAGUCGAGCGAACAGAUGAGGAGCUUGCUCCUCUGACGUUAGCGGCGGACGGGUGAGUAACACGUGGAUAACCUACCUAUAAGACUGGGAUAACUUCGGGAAACCGGAGCUAAUACCGGAUAAUAUAUUGAACCGCAUGGUUCAAUAGUGAAAGACGGUUUUGCUGUCACUUAUAGAUGUAUCCGCGCCGCAUUAGCUAGUUGGUAAGGUAACGGCUUACCAAGGCAACGAUGCGUAGCCGACCUGAGAGGGUGAGCGGCCACACUGGAACUGAGACACGGUCCAGACUCCUACGGGAGGCAGCAGUAGGGAAUCUUCCGCAAUGGGCGAAAGCCUGACGGAGCAACGCAGCGUGAGUGAUGAAGGUCUUCGGAUCGUAAAACUCUGUUAUUAGGGAAGAACAAAUGUGUAAGUAACUAUGCACGUCUGGACGGUACCUAAUAAGAAAGCCACGGCUAACUACGU